AACCUUACAGGCACCUUAGACUCAGCCUGUCCCUGAAGAAGCCCCUCUACAACAUGCUAUUUCUUCCUUAUGGCAGCUGUCAAGUAUUGAGAAUAUUUUAACCACAGCAAAUUAUUUCUCUGAAUGGAUGUCUUAAACUGUAACAAAAGAUGUCAUUUAUUUUUUAAUAUGCCUAGACUCUCUGUGAAAGGUUAAUGAAUACUACAAAUGGUUGCUUCUGGGGAGGAAGAAAGGUUACUUUGUGUUGUUAAAAUUUUAUGCCACAGACAGGUACACUUCUUUAUACAACAACAAUUAACAGUGUAAUGAAAAGGAAAGGGAAAUAUUUAUCAUAAAAAUUCACAUACCAAAAACUGACCACUUGAGAACUCACCCGUAAGGGAACUGGCCCAUUUCCUUUCAAAGUAUACUUUGCUGAAAGUGAGAGAGAAGAUCAUUUAUUCAUGAUUACUUGCUCCUUUUAAACAAGCUUGUUCAAAGGCUGUGGUAUUGUAUCAAGUUCUCUUGAACACAAGGUCAAGGGUUGUGAACUUUAAGGCACCUGAAUUUAAAUACUGAGUGCAUGUAUCACACGCAUAUGUGCACUAUUCAUUCAUUCAAAAACAUUUCUCAGUAGCAGGCACUGAGUUAAGAUCUGAGGACGCAGAAUUAAAUAACUCAGAGUUCCUGCACUCAAGUGGCUCACAGUCUAGAGACCCUAUGGAUACAGAAGGCCAGCAGGGAAGUGCUGGGUAGAGGAGGGCUGUGGUCCUCUGCUAGGGUUCCACCCCCAGGCCUGCGCCCACAGACCUAGGUGAGGAGAGGCAUUUCUAUUUUCCUGCCCAAAUGUUGCAUUUCCCAAGACCACCCUGGCCGCUCACAUCCACAUCCUGUGCCUAUAAAACUCCCUGAGACCCUACCAGGCAGAGACACAAGCAGAUGGACGUCAAGAGGAGCACAUUGGCGGAGGAACACACAAGCAGCUGGAAGUCUAGAGCACACCGACAAGUAUCUGCGGGCCGGCAGGCCAUCCACCGGAGGAACAGCAUGGGGUUUGGAGGAGGUGGUCAGAGGAGAGCCAGGCUGCUGAGCCACCUGACUCCAGCAGGAAAACCAACUUCCCACUCCGUCUCCCUUCUGGUUCCCCCAUCUGCUGAGAGCUACUUCCACUCAAUAAAACCUUGUCUUCAUUCUCCAAGCCCACGUGUGAUCCAAUUCUUCUGGUACACCAAGGCAAGAAACCCCAGGAUACAGAAAGCCCUCUUGUCCUCGAGAUAAGGCGGGGGAUCAAGCUGCCUAGGGAGGGUUAAAAUAGAAGAGCGCCCUGGCCCGGCGCGGUGGCUCAUGCCUGUAAUCCCAGCACUUUGGGAGGCCGAGGCAGGCGGAUCAUGAGGUCAGGAGAUCCAGACCAUCCUGGCUAACACGGUGAAACCCCGUCUCUACAAAAAUUACCAAAAAUUAGCAGGGCAUGGUGGUGGGCGCCUGUAGUCCCAGAUACUCGGGAGGCUGAGGCAGGAGAAUGGCGUAAACCCAGGAGGUGGAGCUUGCAGUGAGCUGAGAUCGUGCCACUGCACUCCAGCCUGGGCGGCAGAGCGAGAUUCCGUCUCAAAAAAAAAAAAAAAAAAAAAAAAA
Molecule: long non-coding RNA, 1611 nt
Filed under: Macaca mulatta (Rhesus monkey)
Lineage: Eukaryota; Metazoa; Chordata; Mammalia; Primates; Cercopithecidae
Description: lncRNA (ENSMMUG00000055549.1)
Source: RNAcentral